AUUGAACGCUGGCGGCAUGCCUUACACAUGCAAGUCGAACGGCAGCGCGGGAGCAAUCCUGGCGGCGAGUGGCGAACGGGUGAGUAAUAUAUCGGAACGUGCCCAGUAGUGGGGGAUAGCCCGGCGAAAGCCGGAUUAAUACCGCAUACGACCUACGGGUGAAAGGGGGGGACCGCAAGACCUCUCGCUAUUGGAGCGGCCGAUAUCAGAUUAGGUAGUUGGUGGGGUAAAGGCCCACCAAGCCUGCGAUCUGUAGUUGGUCUGAGAGGACGACCAGCCACACUGGGACUGAGACACGGCCCAGACUCCUACGGGAGGCAGCAGUGGGGAAUUUUGGACAAUGGGGGCAACCCUGAUUCAGCAAUGCCGCGUGCAGGAAGAAGGCCUUCGGGUUGUAAACUGCUUUUGUCAGGGAAGAAAUCUUCUGGGUUAAUACCUCGGGAGGAUGACGGUACCUGAAGAAUAAGCACCGGCUAACUACGUGCCAGCAGCCGCCGUAA
This 500-nucleotide ribosomal RNA is filed under the name uncultured bacterium. RNAcentral describes it as "partial 16S ribosomal RNA". It matches the Rfam family "Bacterial small subunit ribosomal RNA", at positions 30 to 523 of the family's 1533-position model. The record is from RNAcentral.